CACUAAUUCCCCACUGUCACAUUAAGCGCAGCCACACUUAUUAUAAUAUAAUAAGUGUGGCUGCGCUUAAUGUGACAGCGGGGAAUUACGGUU
Molecule: microRNA precursor, 93 nt
Filed under: Pelobates cultripes (western spadefoot toad)
Lineage: Eukaryota; Metazoa; Chordata; Amphibia; Anura; Pelobatidae
Source: RNAcentral